This 151-nucleotide ribosomal RNA is filed under the name uncultured bacterium. RNAcentral's name for it is "partial 16S ribosomal RNA". It matches the Rfam family "Archaeal small subunit ribosomal RNA", at positions 325 to 476 of the family's 1478-position model. The record is from RNAcentral.
ACGGGGUGCAGCAGGCGCGAAACCUCCACAAUGUACGAGAGUGCGAUGGGGGGAUCCCAAGUGCUAUUCUUAACGGGAUAGCUUUUCUUAAGUGUAAAAAGCUUUUGGAAUAAGAGCUGGGCAAGACCGGUGCCAGCCGCCGCGGUAAUUU